RNAcentral lists this ribosomal RNA (253 nucleotides) under uncultured bacterium. RNAcentral's name for it is "partial 16S ribosomal RNA". It matches the Rfam family "Bacterial small subunit ribosomal RNA", at positions 524 to 776 of the family's 1533-position model. The record is from RNAcentral.
UACGAAGGGGGCUAGCGUUGCUCGGAAUCACUGGGCGUAAAGCGCACGUAGGCGGACUCUUAAGUCAGGGGUGAAAUCCUGGAGCUCAACUCCAGAACUGCCUUUGAUACUGGGAGUCUUGAGUUCGGGAGAGGUGAGUGGAACUGCGAGUGUAGAGGUGAAAUUCGUAGAUAUUCGCAAGAACACCAGUGGCGAAGGCGGCUCACUGGCCCGAUACUGACGCUGAGGUGCGAAAGCGUGGGGAGCAAGCAGG